Molecule: ribosomal RNA, 320 nt
Filed under: uncultured eukaryote
Lineage: Eukaryota
Description: partial 18S ribosomal RNA
Rfam family: Eukaryotic small subunit ribosomal RNA
Source: RNAcentral
CCCCUAGAUGUUCUGGGCCGCACGCGCGCUACACUGAACAGUUCAACAAGUCUUAACCUUGGCCGAUAGGUCUGGGUAAUCUUUGAACGCUGUUCGUGAUUGGGAUAGACCUUUGCAAUUAUGGGUCUUCAACGAGGAAUUCCUAGUAAACGCAAGUCAUCAGCUUGCAUUGAUUACGUCCCUUCCCUUUGUACACACCGCCCGUCGCACCUACCGAUUGAAUGGUCCGGUGAAAUCUCGGGACGGCGGCUUGGUCGCUUGCGUCCGACUGCUGAAACUUGAUUAAACCAUAUCAUUUAGAGGAAGGUGAANUCGUAACA